UAGGGAAUCUUCGGCAAUGGACGAAAGUCUGACCGAGCAACGCCGCGUGAGUGAAGAAGGUUUUCGGAUCGUAAAACUCUGUUGGUAGAGAAGAACGUUGGUGAGAGUGGAAAGCUCAUCAAGUGACGUGUAACUACCCACGAAAGGGACGGCUAACUACGUGC
RNAcentral lists this ribosomal RNA (164 nucleotides) under uncultured bacterium. Its description in RNAcentral is "partial 16S ribosomal RNA". It matches the Rfam family "Bacterial small subunit ribosomal RNA", at positions 355 to 508 of the family's 1533-position model. The record is from RNAcentral.